ACCUGGCUGGCUCAGUCAGUGGAGCUUGAGACUCUUGAUCUCAGGGUUGUGAGUUCAAGCCCCACCAUAAGUA
This 73-nucleotide transfer RNA is filed under the name Canis lupus familiaris (dog). It matches the Rfam family "tRNA". From Rfam's summary of the family: Transfer RNA (tRNA) molecules are approximately 80 nucleotides in length. Their secondary structure includes four short double-helical elements and three loops (D, anti-codon, and T loops). Further hydrogen bonds mediate the characteristic L-shaped molecular structure. tRNAs have two regions of fundamental functional importance: the anti-codon, which is responsible for specific mRNA codon recognition, and the 3' end, to which the tRNAs corresponding amino acid is attached (by aminoacyl-tRNA synthetases). tRNAs cope with the degeneracy of the genetic code in two manners: having more than one tRNA (with a specific anti-codon) for a particular amino acid; and 'wobble' base-pairing, i.e. permitting non-standard base-pairing at the 3rd anti-codon position. The record is from Rfam by way of RNAcentral. Lineage: Eukaryota; Metazoa; Chordata; Mammalia; Carnivora; Canidae. RNAcentral also lists the same sequence under 2 other names.